Long non-coding RNA from Homo sapiens (human), 200 nucleotides. RefSeq lists it as uncharacterized. The transcript is spliced from 2 exons. NCBI's taxonomy places the organism in Eukaryota, Metazoa, Chordata, Mammalia, Primates, Hominidae. The record is from RefSeq and is a predicted model, not a curated record.
AGCCGUCUCUUCACUGGAAAGGGUGACGCGGCGCAAGAUUUACCCCUGAACCUCUCUGGGAGUGUGAGCUUCAUGGGCCUCAGUAGGAGGAGACGGUGGAGAAGAAAAAGACUUUACCAGGCUGUCUGCAGACACCCUUGUCCUAGAGGCCCUGGAGUGGGACAGCUGGGUGGCUCCUCGGAAGACUCCACAACCCCUUG